Panthera uncia (snow leopard) is the source of this 410-nucleotide long non-coding RNA. RefSeq lists it as uncharacterized. The transcript has 2 exons. NCBI's taxonomy places the organism in Eukaryota, Metazoa, Chordata, Mammalia, Carnivora, Felidae. The record is from RefSeq and is a predicted model, not a curated record.
CCGCAGAAGCGAAAACAAUGGCAGAGCCGGAAGCGAGAACAAGGCCCACUUCCGGCCCCUCCAGGAUCCCGGAAAUCUCUCUGGCGAAGGAUAUUGAACUGGACAAAACCAUAUGACUAAACAGAGGACUGCUACACUCACAUUCUGGAUAAAAAUUGGACACUCUGCAAAAAAAUGUUUUCCUAGUCACUGUCACACUGUACUCAGAAAACCAAUGGAUGGCCAAACGUAAUUGUACCUUCCAAUCACAGUCUUUGGAAAACAACUUGUGUAAGUUUCCUGAUACCUCUGCAAUUUGCUGAUAAAUAAGCCUGGCUUUUACUCCUCAGUGGGACACAGUUUGGGUUGCUACCCAAAUCAGUGCUCCCUGAAUUUCAAUUCUGAGAAAUCAAAUAAAUGCUUUUGUUGUA